GACGAACGCUGGCGGCGUGCUUAACACAUGCAAGUCGAACGGAAAGGCCCUGCUUUUGUGGGGUGCUCGAGUGGCGAACGGGUGAGUAACACGUGAGUAACCUGCCCUUGACUUUGGGAUAACUUCAGGAAACUGGGGCUAAUACCGGAUAGGAGCUCCUGCUGCAUGGUGGGGGUUGGAAAGUUUCGGCGGUUGGGGAUGGACUCGCGGCUUAUCAGCUUGUUGGUGGGGUAGUGGCUUACCAAGGCUUUGACGGGUAGCCGGCCUGAGAGGGUGACCGGCCACAUUGGGACUGGGAUGCGGCCCAGACUCCUACGGGAGGCAGCAGUGGGGAAUAGUGCACAAUGGGCGGAAGCCUGAUGCAGCAACGCCGCGUGCGGGAUGACGUCCAUCGGGUUGUAAACCGCUUUCGCCUGUGACGAAGCGUGAGUGACGGUAAUGGGUAAAGAAGCACCGGCUAACUACGUG
Molecule: ribosomal RNA, 468 nt
Filed under: uncultured bacterium
Lineage: Bacteria
Description: partial 16S ribosomal RNA
Rfam family: Bacterial small subunit ribosomal RNA
Source: RNAcentral